Molecule: ribosomal RNA, 465 nt
Filed under: uncultured bacterium
Lineage: Bacteria
Description: bacterial SSU rRNA
Rfam family: Bacterial small subunit ribosomal RNA
Source: RNAcentral
ACCAGACUCCUACGGGAGGCAGCAGUGGGGAAUAUUGCACAAUGGGGGAAACCCUGAUGCAGCGACGCCGCGUGAGUGAAGAAGUAUUUCGGUAUGUAAAGCUCUCUCAGCAGGGAAGAAAUACUGACCUUACGGUCAGCAGACGGUACCUGACUAAGAAGCCCCGGCUAACUACGUGCCAGCAGCCGCGGUAAUACGUAGGGGGCAAGCGUUAUCCGGAUUUACUGGGUGUAAAGGGAGCGUAGACGGUGAAGUAAGUCUGGAGUGAAAGGCGGGGGCCCAACCCCCGGACUGCUCUGGAAACUAUUUGACUGGAGUGCAGGAGAGGUAAGCGGAAUUCCUAGUGUAGCGGUGAAAUGCGUAGAUAUUAGGAGGAACACCAGUGGCGAAGGCGGCUUACUGGACUGUAACUGACGUUGAGGCUCGAAAGCGUGGGGAGCAAACAGGAUUAGAUACCCCUGUAGA